RNAcentral lists this ribosomal RNA (523 nucleotides) under uncultured Glomus. RNAcentral describes it as "SSU rRNA". It matches the Rfam family "Eukaryotic small subunit ribosomal RNA", at positions 569 to 1092 of the family's 1831-position model. Lineage: Eukaryota; Fungi; Glomeromycota; Glomeromycetes; Glomerales; Glomeraceae. The record is from RNAcentral.
AGCAGCCGCGGUAAUUCCAGCUCAAUAGCGUAUAUUAAAGUUGCUGACAGUUAAAAGCUCGUAGUUGAAUUUCGGGACCAUCAUGUCGGUCGUGCCUCGGUACGUACUGGCAUUGUUGGUUUCUCCCUUCUGAAGAACCAUGAUGUCAUUAAUUUGGUGUCUUGGGGAAUCAGGACUGUUACUUUGAAAAAUUAGAGUGUUUAAAGCAGGCUCGCGCUUGAAUACAUUAGCAUGGAAUAAUGAAAUAGGACGUUUGAUUCUAAUUUUGUUGGUUUCUAGGAUCGACGUAAUGAUUAAUAGGGAUAGUUGGGGGCAUUAGUAUUCAAUUGUCAGAGGUGAAAUUCUUGGAUUUAUUGAAAGACUAACUACUGCGAAAGCAUUUGCCAAGGAUGUUUUCAUUAAUCAAGAACGAAAGUUAGGGGAUCGAAGACGAUCAGAUACCGUCGUAGUCUUAACCAUAAACUAUGCCGACCUAGGGAUCGGAUGAUGUUAAUUUUUUUAAUGACCCAUUCGGCGCCUUACG